UCUUCCUUGGUGUAGGGGUUAGCAUCUUAGCCUGUCACGCUAAAGACCUGGGUUCGAUUCCAGAGGGAGAG
RNAcentral lists this transfer RNA (71 nucleotides) under Exocentrus adspersus. Its description in RNAcentral is "tRNA-Asp". It matches the Rfam family "tRNA". From Rfam's summary of the family: Transfer RNA (tRNA) molecules are approximately 80 nucleotides in length. Lineage: Eukaryota; Metazoa; Arthropoda; Insecta; Coleoptera; Cerambycidae. The record is from RNAcentral.